GAUCAUAGCUCAGGAUGAACGCUAGCUACAGGCUUAACACAUGCAAGUCGAGGGGCAGCGGGAAGUCAGCUUGCUGACUUUGCCGGCGACCGGCGCACGGGUGAGUAACACGUAUCCAACCUUCCCGUUACUCUGGAAUAGCCUUUCGAAAGAAAGAUUAAUACCGGAUAGUAUCGAGAGAUUGCAUGAUAACCCGAUUAAAGAUUCAUCGGUACGGAAGUGGGGAGUGCGUUCCCUAUUAGGUCGAG
This 248-nucleotide ribosomal RNA is filed under the name uncultured bacterium. RNAcentral's name for it is "partial 16S ribosomal RNA". It matches the Rfam family "Bacterial small subunit ribosomal RNA", at positions 15 to 250 of the family's 1533-position model. The record is from RNAcentral.